CUUUUGGAAACGCAAGUUUGCGCCCGAUGCCAUUAGGUUGAGGGCACGUCUGCCUGGGUGUCACAUAUCGAAGCCUCCUUGACUAUUCUGCAGGGUGGAUGUUGGCCUCCCAUGAGCUCUUUUGUCUCAUGGUUGGUUGAAAAUUGAGACCUUGGUAGGGUGUGCCAUGAUAGAUGGUGGUUGUGUGACCCACGAGACCAAUCAUGCGCUUCUCUAUUGAAUUCGGCCUCUUUUACCCAUAUGCGUUUUUAAACGCUCGUGAUGAGACCUCAGGUCAGGCGGGACUACCCGCUGAAUUUAAGCAUAUCAAUAAGCGGAGGAAAAGAAACUAACAAGGAUUCCCUUAGUAACGGCGAGCGAACCGGGAUAAGCCCACCAUGAGAAUCGGUCGCCCUCGGCGUUCGAAUUGUAGUUGAAAAAAACCGUCAAAAGGG
RNAcentral lists this ribosomal RNA (434 nucleotides) under Vicia villosa (hairy vetch). RNAcentral describes it as "eukaryotic LSU rRNA". The stretch from base 265 to 434 matches the Rfam family "Eukaryotic large subunit ribosomal RNA", at positions 1 to 172 of the family's 3401-position model. Lineage: Eukaryota; Viridiplantae; Streptophyta; Magnoliopsida; Fabales; Fabaceae. The record is from RNAcentral.